This is a long non-coding RNA of Lotus japonicus, 315 nucleotides long. RefSeq lists it as uncharacterized. The record is from RefSeq and is a predicted model, not a curated record. Lineage: Eukaryota; Viridiplantae; Streptophyta; Magnoliopsida; Fabales; Fabaceae. The transcript is spliced from 4 exons.
UUAAGUAUUUUCUUUUUUAGCAAACUCUGCAGAACACAAAAAGUGAAGGCAAACAAGGGAAGUGUAAGCAGAAAUAGCACCACUCACCAAAAAUGGUAGUUGAUUUAACUGCAUUGGUUUCUAUUAUAUGGCAAAGAUCGCAGUAACACCUUCAAUAGUUAUGCACUUAUGCAGAAUUUGUUGUGUACAGGAAGAAAGUUUCUUGGCCCAAUUGUCAUUUCAAGCGUUGAAUCCAUUCCAGUACCUCUCCUUCCAUUGAGUAACGUACAUAUUAUUCGCAUUUGAAGGUUUCUAUGUCUAUAAGGAAGCGUGCAC